Molecule: long non-coding RNA, 1222 nt
Organism: Vollenhovia emeryi
Lineage: Eukaryota; Metazoa; Arthropoda; Insecta; Hymenoptera; Formicidae
Exons: 2
Source: RefSeq, a predicted model, not a curated record
ACCAUGAGCGCAACCGCGGUCAGAAACUCAGAAGGAUUGUCCGACGUUUUAGGACUACGUUUCGGAAGUACGGUCCAUCGUGCGAGAGACUAUAGCAUUUGUUCGCGGGUAUGCGCAGCGACGUAUUUGUUAGGGCAACGGGAUGAUACGCACGAAUAUUCCGUAAACUUAUCGUGAAACGUCGGACGAUUUCUCUCUCGGCCUUUCCGACCACGACCGUGCAGCUGAAGCUCGGGAGACGCAUCAGAACACGUCGACAAUAUCAGAAAUAUGAAUAUAUUCUUCAAUAUUAAUGUACAGGAAAAGGGCAGACUCUAGUGGGGAGGGGGAUGCCUCGGAGUCGAAUAGAACCCAGUUGUCGGCCGGUCGUUCACACGCUUUCGAGCUUGCACAGACGAUGAACAUCUCGCUUAUCGUAUCCUAUCAGUAUAUACAAUUUAUUUUCGUGCAGCACCGUUAGCCCGUUACCAGCAACCGUCUCGCUGGACAAGUUAAACACGCUGGCUGCUGUGGCGAUGGUAAUUUAUCCUCCGUGACCAACGUCUGACGUUUUCACUGAUCUCGACUGGCGUUGUCGAAACAUUUUAAAACUUCCAAAAACCUGUCUCUCGCUACGUAAGUCAUUUAUAUUAAAUGUACAGCCAAUACAAAAUCACAAAUGACCUACGUAGCUUGUAAACAACAUAAAGUGCGUUAUUCAGUUCCAUGAUAGCGUUAUAGAAUCAUAUUACACAGGAUUUAAUCAUUUGCCAGGAAGAAAAUGGAAAGUCUCGUGUAUGUUUUUCGAUGUACCGUAUCUAAUUAGAUCUCAUGAGACCCAAUAAUAAAAAUCAUCGGAUCCCCAGAGAGUCGACACUUUCCUUGAACGUUCGAGGUCAUGUAUUCAGAUCUAGCUAAAUAUCCUCUCGAGCGCUGCCUCGGUAGCACAGCUGGCACUAUUGCUUUUGCCAAUCGCCGUGAAUCUCUGAGAAAUAUUUUUGAAUCAGUGGGCCAAUUGGAUAGAAUUAGGUAUUACAUGUUUGAGACAUAUACCAGAUACUUCCAUCUCUUUCCAGGUUGUAAAGAUUUUCUAUCGUUUAAAUAAUUCUAUCGGUACACGGGAACCUCACUAAGCAGACGAUGUUAAAAAACGUUAAUCGUGUAAUGAAAUUAUAAAAAUACAUAACAAGAGAGUCGCCGCUUCUUGCGUUCAAUAGAAUAAAUAAAUUCUGUUACUUUGCAA